This 85-nucleotide transfer RNA is filed under the name Felis catus (domestic cat). It matches the Rfam family "tRNA". Rfam says of the family: Transfer RNA (tRNA) molecules are approximately 80 nucleotides in length. Their secondary structure includes four short double-helical elements and three loops (D, anti-codon, and T loops). Lineage: Eukaryota; Metazoa; Chordata; Mammalia; Carnivora; Felidae. The record is from Rfam by way of RNAcentral.
GCCUGGGUGGCUCAGUCGGUUAAGCAUCUGACUUCAGCUCAGGUCAUGAUCUCACAGUUUGUGGGUUCAAGCCCCAUGUAGGGCU